Mytilus californianus (California mussel) is the source of this 655-nucleotide long non-coding RNA. RefSeq lists it as uncharacterized. The transcript is spliced from 2 exons. NCBI's taxonomy places the organism in Eukaryota, Metazoa, Mollusca, Bivalvia, Mytilida, Mytilidae. The record is from RefSeq and is a predicted model, not a curated record.
AGUAUUGAUGACCGAUGGUCUUGCAUGCGGACCCAUAACAAGUCAAAAGAAGCCGCUACACCAGCAACCAGUUAAAGAGGAACUUUCGGAAUUGAAUUACAUUGAAAUUGAGUUGAAUCACAUUCCAGAUGAGCACAGGUUUUAUAUACACGGGCAAGACAACAAAACAGACUAUUCGGAAAUCGAGUUUGGUGUCAUUGGCGAUCCCCUGCCAUCCAGUGAGUCUGAAAUGGAUGACGAUAACGACACAGACAUAAUCGAUUGUAUUGUAGUCAAAGAUUAGAUAAACAAUACAGUAACUGUGCAUUCACUUAUGAGCCACUUCAUAUACCAUACUGAACAAAUCAAACCGUGUAAAACGUGAUAGUUCACUGGCUUAAAUCUGUUAAUAACCAAUCCUUAUUUAUUUACCUUAUUUAGUUAAUUUAUGUAAAAUACACGAAGUAUGAUAACUGUAAAUAAACAUUUGCCUUGACCAUAAUGAAAUUAUAAACAGAGUUUUGCAUCUUUCAUUUUAUCAGGGUUUUUAUUGAAUAUAAACAUUUAGUGUUUUUAAUCUUCUUUCAUACAUUUUUAUACGUAUGUUUUCGAUAUUUGCACUACAGUGCUUCUAGUGGCAACCUCAUUGGCUAUACAUAAUUUGUUGUUAUUAAGA